AAGUCGUAACAAGGUCUCCGUUGGUGAACCAGCGGAGGGAUCAUUACUGAGUACUACACUCUCUACCCUUUGUGAACUAUUAUACCUGUUGCUUCGGCGGCGCCCGCAAGGGUGCCCGCCGGUCUCAUCAGAAUCUCUGUUUUCGAACCCGACGAUACUUCUGAGUGUUCUUAGCGGACUGUCAAAACUUUUAACAACGGAUCUCUUGGCUCCAGCAUCGAUGAAGAACGCAGCGAAACGCGAUAUGUAAUGUGAAUUGCAGAAUUCAGUGAAUCAUCGAAUCUUUGAACGCACAUGGCGCCUUCCAGUAUCCUGGGAGGCAUGCCUGUCCGAGCGUCGUUUCAACCCUCGAGCCCCUGUGGCCCGGCGUUGGGGAUCUGCCACGGCAGGCCCCUAAAACCAGUGGCGGACCCGAAGGGCCCUCUCCUUUGCGCAGUAGCAUUCGCCUCGCAUCGGGAGUCCUCGGCGUCCUGCCUCUAAACCCCCCACAAGCCCGCUUCGGCGGCACCAAGGUUGACCUCGGAUCAGGUAGGAAUACCCGCUGAACUUAA
Molecule: ribosomal RNA, 551 nt
Filed under: uncultured fungus
Lineage: Eukaryota; Fungi
Description: eukaryotic LSU rRNA
Rfam family: 5.8S ribosomal RNA (bases 186-339)
Source: RNAcentral